ACUCCUACGGGAGGCAGCAGUGGGGGAUAUUGCACAAUGGGGGGAACCCUGAUGCAGCGACGCCGCGUGAAGGAAGGAGUGCCUCGGCAUGUAAACUUCUAUCAGCGGGGAAGAAGAUGACGGUACCCGACCAAGAAGCCCCGGCUAACUACGUGCCAGCAGCCGCGGUAAUAC
Molecule: ribosomal RNA, 174 nt
Filed under: uncultured bacterium
Lineage: Bacteria
Description: partial 16S ribosomal RNA
Rfam family: Bacterial small subunit ribosomal RNA
Source: RNAcentral